RNAcentral lists this long non-coding RNA (3601 nucleotides) under Coffea arabica (coffee). Its description in RNAcentral is "long non-coding RNA (CARA_LNC007315)". Lineage: Eukaryota; Viridiplantae; Streptophyta; Magnoliopsida; Gentianales; Rubiaceae. The record is from RNAcentral.
ACUAUUAAACCCAAACUUUAAUGAAUUUCAGAACUGGAGCCAAAGAGGUUUCCUCUUCGUUUCCCCCCUGUUCUUCUAUGACCUGUAUAAUUUAGGGUUGCACAUUUUCUCGAAAUUUAUUGUGUUCUAAUCUUGAAUUUGUCCAAAAGAUUGGAUCUUUCAAGUUUAUGAUGUAUGGGUUUGUAAAUUGGAGCUCGUAGCAGCUGAAGGGAUCAUUUUUCUAUUACUCCAGUUUCACUCAUGGGCUGCACACUUAUCAGAUUUUACUGCAAAGAGGGCUAUCUUUCUUUCAAUUUCUUGCUCUGAAAGCACAGGUCAAGGUAUAAAGUAGGCCAAGUAAUCCUUUUGCCUUUUUGCCUUUAUUUUUUUGGAGCCAUUGUUUGGGUUAUUCAUUUUCUUUAGAAUUGGGAUCAAUAUAACUACAUGUAGUGAUUAAUCAUCUUAGGCUCACUUUUGCUGAAAAGUCUUUUUUCUUUUGGGAUUUUUGUUUCAGUUUCCAUAAUUUGUUGUUGUUCGAGAAAUCUUUUGUAGUUCAUAUUUAUGAUCAGCUGAGAAGUGAGAACCCUCUGGAAGCUACUUUAAAGUGAUGAAUUGCACUCUCUCUGUAAGGAAAUGCUAUUUGUUUACUCAAUUAGGGUGUUUUUGUAUUCAUAUACUAUGCAUAGGUUGUAUGUGUGUGUGUGGAUUUUUGAAGAAGAUAUAAUUGGCGUAAAAACUUUGACUUGUCUGCAUUUGAGCAAAACUUCAAAAGAAAUCUAAUAUAUUUGGUUUACAUUAAGCCUUUUAUGUCCAAAUGCAAUAUUUGCUUAGUGCUGAACUAUUAUGCAAAUGCAAGUUUUUGACUUGGCAUUCUUUACGGUUUACUUUUGCGAUAACGCCUGAUGAGGCUUAUUUUUCUGUUUACUAGUAAGUCAGGAUGUUAUGCUGCCCAUUUUUUUUUUUUUUUUUGUGAGAGUGUGUGUGUGUGUGUGGUUUUUUUCUUUUUAACUUCUUUAAAGGCUUUCCCUAUAAGCAAACAUUAGGGCCAGCUAUUUUCUUUUUUUUUUCUUUUCUUUUUUCAAUUAUUUGGAUUUCAAAGUUGAGGAGCCAAAUCGAGUAGUUGAAUUUGUGCGUCAUACUUCAUAGGCUCCACUUGGCAGAUUGCACCAGGUGAGUAGUACAGAAGAUUGGGAGUGUUGCCCUGUUUUCCCUCAAAUUCCUGGUUCUAAAUAAGCUUGAGCAAUCCUUUUUAUGCAAAACCCAAAAAUUGUGCUACCUUCCUGCUUCUCUGCUUCUCCCAUUUUUGUGCCAAACAUGAAGUUUCCUGAUAUUCUCUGUUAGUGACUUCCUUUUUUUGUUUGUUUUUAAGAUACUUUGAGUCAUUGUUGAUAGCUUUUUGAGCAUUGACACAAUUAUAUCUCUUAAACUUGCUUAUAAUUUUCUUUUGGAGGUCAGGAAGGUUAGGGAACGGUUGUUUUUGGUGUUUGUGUUGGAAACAUGAAGUAUAUUUAACUUCUUGUCAUGUCAAAGGUCCAAACAAUGACAAUGGAUAUCUCUGCUAGAUGUUGGACCUAAAGAUGGUUUGUCAUUGUUGCUUUAUGUUGUUUCAAAGUAUUCUGCAAUAGAUUCUCUUAGGAAAAAUCAUGUUGGUUUUCUUCUGGUUUAAGGCAGAAAGCCAUUAGGUUCGUUAUAACUAAUGUACAUAAUUUGAUGUAGGAAUUCUUCAUCUGAUGUUGCAGACUAUCUUGAUCACAUCUAAUGGAGCUUGUAAGCUGGGUGCAUUUGGUUUCACACCUACAGGUCACUCAUCCAGUGAUUCAGCUAAUGUGCGGGCUUUCCACUAUGCUGUGAGUGUAAAUUUUCAUAUCACAGUGAAAAACAGAAUAUAAUUGCACGUUUUUUUUAGUUCAUUUUUCUACUGCAUUUCUAGUUAUUGAAUUUGUGAAUUGAUAGCAUUUCUUUUAUCUGAAUCUUAUUGCUGUUAAGCAUGCUGCUGGACCUGCAUUAGCUUUUUGAUUUAUCAUGGAAAAUCUGUUGUUUGAAUAGUAGUAUCUUAAACAGAUUUGGUUGCUAAUUGGUUCUUGGAAAGGUUUAACACAAAUUUUCUUCAUAAAUUAGUGCUUGGAGCUCUAUCAAUGCUAUAUCUGAGCUCAAGUAUGAGCUAUAUAUGAAGAGGAGCCAGGCAGAUCCAUAUGGUUUCAUGUUACAUUAGAGUUAGAUCUAUGUUGUUGAUGAGUAAAGAAUAGAAAGAAGUGUUGUGGGAGGGGUUUUGGAAGGACCGAAGUGCAUGAUAUAUGUAGAUUUGGUGAGUAUGAUCCUCUUAACGUGCUGGACUAUUAUGUUAUCACCUUAGACUCAAUCAAGACAAGUACAUCGAAGAUUAGGGAUGACAACGCGACAGGUGCCUGCCUUGCAGGGGAAGGAAUGGGACGGGAGAUUUUUCUCCUCCUACUUUAAAUGGGGUGGGGGAGGAUACCAAUAUAUAUUUUGACAAAAGCUUUGUCCUUCAUAUCAUUCGAUUCUUUUGAGUCUCUUUUGAUUAGUAGACAGACAAAAGAAUAUAUCAGUUUUUUGGUUAGAACUUACUGUUAUACUAGCACCAAAUGUUCUUGACUGUGAUUGCAACAUCUCCAAUUAUGGGAAGUAAGGGGCCGCUUGGUUUGAGGGGUUUGGCAUGUGGAAUGACAAUAAUUCCAAUAUUUAGUGCUUGGUACACUGUAAUGGCAAUUGAAAUAUUGGAAUCAUACCCAAUUCAUGAUUCCCGACUAAAUUGGGAGGAAUCACUCAAAACCCUCAGCUCAUUUCCAACAGUGAAUAAAUAAAAGACAAAAUAUUUUGUUAAAAUACUUUCUUUCUCCCUCUCCCAGACUUCCACCAUCGAACCUCCCCUUCCUCUCUGCCUUCAACACCUCUCUCUCCCCCAUGGCAUCUGGCAAUUCCUCCCCUUUUUCUUAUUUUUCCCUCUUUAUCAGCAUUUGACAACACCCAAAUGGGCUUGCCGGCAGAAAAAUAGAUUCAAAUGGAAGAAAUCGAAGAGGAAGCCGCACCAGCAAACACCGACAAGUCAUCACCGUUAUUAUCUGAAUUCUCCCCGUAAGAUCCGUUGGCCCGAGGUCGAGGUCCACCUCUACAAGCUUGGCAAAGGACCCAUCAAUGUCUUCAAGUCCAGCCUUAGUGGGUGGGACCAAGACUAGUUGGAGGUCACCGAUUUUUUUCCUUUUCCAUGGCAUCUGACAAAAUCUCUCUUCUUCUCCCACGGCCGGUCACUUCCACCUCAUCCCAGUAGACCCUUUCUUCUCCUCCCUUGCCAUCAAAUCGUCCUCCUCAUUGCAAUCGUUCUCCACAAAUCGUUCAAAUCUUUUAUUGAUUAGUCAUGAGUUUUUGUUGAUAAUCGUUGAACCAAAAACAAAAAAGAUUUGGAUUGGUAGUGAUUUGAUGAUGGGCGUGAUUAUCAAUCCAAGAACAAUAAUUAAAAAAUAAAAAAUUAAUUUUGAUACCAUUCCAACUAUAUUUAUACCAAGCACUAGUCCGUGGAAUAAUACCAGGGGUUCAAACCCAUACUAAUUUUUUGUAUAUCAUUCCAUCUCCAAUACCAAUUCCAAAACAUGAACCAAGCACCCCC